This 264-nucleotide signal recognition particle RNA is filed under the name Clostridiales bacterium. RNAcentral's name for it is "signal recognition particle sRNA large type". It matches the Rfam family "Bacterial large signal recognition particle RNA". Rfam says of the family: The signal recognition particle (SRP) is a universally conserved ribonucleoprotein involved in the co-translational targeting of proteins to membranes. Archaeal SRP consists of a 7S RNA and homologues of the eukaryotic SRP19 and SRP54 proteins. The record is from RNAcentral. Lineage: Bacteria; Bacillati; Bacillota; Clostridia; Eubacteriales.
UCGUGCCAGGCGGGGAGCUAGCGGUGCCCUGAACCCUCAAUCCGCUAUAGAGGGGCCGGAUCCCCUCCUGAGGCUUUCUUGUAGAGGAAUGUGGCAGAGUAAGGAACGUGGAAGGCCGGGUCCUGUGCAACGCAUCGCUGUGAAUCAUGUCAGGCCCUGACGGGAGCAGCAUUAAGCGGAAAGAUGCGUGUGCCGCGGGGAAACCGGGUCUGAGUCACCUGUUCUGUCGUCGCCUGUAGGAGAUCGUCGAAGGAGGGUGCACGG